CCGACCCCCAAAAGCGAAAACAAGUUGCCCUGUUCUUGACAAUACUCGCUUUCAGUCGCUUCCGUCAUCGAACAUUUUCAAUUUUUACCAAGUUGAUGAAACAUCAAUUUUUUAUUGAUAAUUAAAGAAAUUCAGACAUAAACGAUUUAUUAUCUUUAGAAAAGAGGUUGAAGCAUUGUCUUCGCAGUGUGUAGCAGGUUAUUUGAUAAAAAUACAACUUUUUAUCACUUCGUGCAUUUCCGCAA
Molecule: long non-coding RNA, 245 nt
Filed under: Mytilus galloprovincialis (Mediterranean mussel)
Lineage: Eukaryota; Metazoa; Mollusca; Bivalvia; Mytilida; Mytilidae
Source: RNAcentral